GCCGGGUGUGGUGGCUCACACCUGUAAUCCUAGCACUUUGGGAGGCCGAGGUGGGCGGAUCACCUGAGGUCAGGAGUUCGAGACCAGCCUGGCCAACAUGGCGAAACCCCAUCUCUA
This 117-nucleotide small RNA is filed under the name Pongo abelii (Sumatran orangutan). Its description in RNAcentral is "Metazoan signal recognition particle RNA (ENSPPYG00000033103.1)". The record is from Rfam by way of RNAcentral. Lineage: Eukaryota; Metazoa; Chordata; Mammalia; Primates; Hominidae.